GUAGAUAUAGUUUAAUUAAAACAUCGGACUGUGAAUCUGAAAAUUAGAGACUAUUCUCUUAUCUACC
This 67-nucleotide transfer RNA is filed under the name Potamogale velox. Its description in RNAcentral is "tRNA-His". It matches the Rfam family "tRNA". Rfam says of the family: Transfer RNA (tRNA) molecules are approximately 80 nucleotides in length. Their secondary structure includes four short double-helical elements and three loops (D, anti-codon, and T loops). The record is from RNAcentral. Lineage: Eukaryota; Metazoa; Chordata; Mammalia; Afrosoricida; Tenrecidae.